UAUAUCUAGUCACCGUAAAGCCUAUUGUAAAUUGUAAUCCUGAUAAUAUAAUGAUAUAUUCUUUGUAAUUAAUAGGAUCUUUCCAAUCAGUGAAUGAUGUAGAAAAUACUGAUGAUACCAUUGAAAACAAUAUAUGUGAUGAACCUGAGCCAACUUCAAGUUCAAAUAACUGCAAUACGUUGUACUCUUGGAUCACUAAUAUCAGUACCACGUCCACCCCUAAUAAAGAAUUUUAACGAAUAAGGGAUAGUACUUUAUCUGAUACAAAAUGCUUGUCUGCAAGUUCUUUUAAAUCAUCUACUUUGAGUAAUAUUUCCACGAUGCAAACAUUUGUUGAUAAAGUAACUAAGGAUGAAAAAUUAAAACUAGACUCAAUGUUAGCAAAAGCUAUCUAUCCAAGUAGAUCACCUUUAUCACUUCUUGAUAAUAUUUAUUGGAAGAAACUGUUUGAAAAAAUAAGGCCAGCUUAUGUAUUACCUUCUUCUUAUCAACUAUCGAAUACACUUUUGGACAGUGAAGUUAAUGGUAUAAAAUGUUUUGUUGAGAAACUUAUUGUUGGAUCACUGUCUAGGGUUGAUGUGGGUGUGAUGGUUGGUCGAAUAUUAGAAAUGAAAGCAUUAUUAAUUUUGUAAUAACAACACCCAAACCUGUGUUUUAUAAAUCUCUACCCACUUUAACUGAAAGACAUGCAGGUAAUUAUAUGGCAAAAGUAAUGAUAGAAAUUAUUGAAGAAGUUGGACCAGGAAAAGUAUUUGGAAUAGUAACUGACAAUGCUGCUAAUAUGAAAAAAGCUUGGCGAGAAAUAAAUAAUAAGUAUGAGCAUAUUAUUACAACAUAUGGUUAACAUAUAGGUGGAGUUGCAGUUGUCAAUAACAUUAGAAGACGACACGUGUUACACGCAAUAUUUAAUGAAAAACAAAAAGAAUCGAGUAUAAAUAAAAAAAAAUCGCUGAUGUUGCCUGUUCAAACCAGAUGUGGUUCAGUAGUAGUUUUUCUUAAGUCUUUUAGCUAAUAAACAAAUAAUACAACUCUUAAACAUAGAUGAGCGGUGUGAAGAAGACAUUAUACCAAGCGUGAAACAAUUUUGGGACCGUAUAAAAAAUUUACACAAUUUUUUAAAGCCCAUAGCAUACUGGAUUACAAGAAUAGAAAGUGAUUUACCAAAACUCAGUAUUGUUCCAGAGAUAUUUGUUGAAAUUAAAAAACAAUAUGAUACUUGUAUAAAAAAUGUUUCUUGUUUUGAGACUGAAAAAAAUAUAAUUAAAAAUAAAAUUCAAUCAAGAAAAGAAUUUAGAGUUCAACAAAUUCAUUUAGCUGCAAAUAUACUACAUCCAAAGUAUCGUGGAAAUAAUUUGACUGCAGAUGAAAAUAUUGAGGCUGCUACAUUCAUUCAUAGACUAUCUACAAUAUGUUUGGAUCGAGGUUUGGAUAUUGAUGAACAGAAAGUCAUGUAUGAUUUCGCUCAGUAUAAGGUUAAAGAAGGGAUUUUUUCAAAUACCUAUGUAUAGGAGGCGUUUGUCAAUUUAGAACCAAUUGUGUGGUAGAAUGCUUACUGUUCAUCUACUGAACUUUCAAAGUUAGCCUCAAAGAUUUUGUCACUACCUGCUACAUCAGCUGCUUGCGAAAGAACAUUCAGUACAUAUAAAGAUGUGCAUUCGUCCAAAAGAAAUAGACUUACCAACAGCAGAGCAGGAAAAUUAGUUUAUGUUAAACACAAUUUAAAGUUGAAGGAAGAACAGGAAAAACAAGUAAAUCCACCGCUUGCCCAGCAAGAUUAUUAUGAAAAAUUGUUAAGAAUUUGAAGAAGACAGUAAUAAUGAGCUACAACUAGAAGAAAUUGAAGAAGACAGUAAUAAUGAGCUACUAGAAGAAAUUGAAUGUGAAGACAAUACUAAAGAGAGUGACUGUAGUGUUAUAAGUGUUAAUUUGGAAAAUGAAGAAGAACAGAACUCAGACAUUUAUAUAGAUAGUACUGAAAUAGAUGAACUUAUGAAUAUGAUAAAUUCAUAAAAUAAUAUUAUGAUAACUAAUUAUAUUAUGUUUAUGGUUUUUAUUUAUAAAAAUUAUUAUAUUAUAAUAAUUUAUCAAUUCCUUUUAGGCUUUAGGUAUAUCUACUAAACUAAACUAUAUUCAGUAGUUAUCUACUAGUUAUCACUAGUAUUACUAUCAAAAACUUGGCCAUUUACCUGCACACCACAUUUAUAUUUGUAUAUAUAAAUCUAUAAUAAGUAUUUAAUUUUAUAAAAGUGUAUGGUACACUAAUGUAAGCA
This is a long non-coding RNA of Metopolophium dirhodum (rose-grain aphid), 2270 nucleotides long. RefSeq lists it as uncharacterized. Lineage: Eukaryota; Metazoa; Arthropoda; Insecta; Hemiptera; Aphididae. The record is from RefSeq and is a predicted model, not a curated record. The transcript is spliced from 3 exons.